UAGGUUUUAUUUACACAUUUUUUAUACUGCCUGUAAACAAUGAUAAUGUGUAUGUUAAUAAUUGUUCUUACAGAGAACCUGCAGAAUAUGCGAAAGGAUGAUCCAUCGCUGGGGCAUUUUGUUAGCUUCCAACAACCGGAAGGGGAAAUAUGUCUGCAGCAACUGUUGGUUUUUACCUGAUGUCCUGCCAAGAGGGAGUGUUGUAAUGCUCGGAAACAAAGUAGAUUUUGACGAUGAAGAGUAUCAGAGGCUGGCAAAUGUUAGAAAGGACAUCAAGUUUUACAGAAAUGGAGAGAACUGAAACCCUAGAGAUAUCCUGGCUAAAAGGAGCUUUUGGAAACUUUUACACUCAAAGUCAAAAAACUGAAAAGUCUAUCGAGAAAUUUCUCCCUGUUCAAUAAUCAAUUCCAUGCUUAAACUUAUUCGAAAAUAAAACAAUGUAUAUA
Eurytemora carolleeae is the source of this 446-nucleotide long non-coding RNA. RefSeq lists it as uncharacterized. The record is from RefSeq and is a predicted model, not a curated record. The transcript has 4 exons. NCBI's taxonomy places the organism in Eukaryota, Metazoa, Arthropoda, Copepoda, Calanoida, Temoridae.